GACGAACGCUGGCGGCGUGCUUAACACAUGCAAGUCGAACGGAAAGGCCCUGCUUUUGUGGGGUGCCCGAGUGGCGAACGGGUGAGUAACACGUGAGUAACCUGCCCUUGACUUUGGGAUAACUUCAGAAAACUGGGGCUAAUACCGGAUAGGAGCUCCUGCUGCAUGGUGGGGGUUGGAAAGUUUCGGCGGUUGGGGAUGGACUCGCGGCUUAUCAGCUUGUUGGUGGGGUAGUGGCUUACCAAGGCUUUGACGGGUAGCCGGCCUGAGAGGGUGACCGGCCACAUUGGGACUGAGAUACGGCCCAGACUCCUACGGGAGGCAGCAGUGGGGAAUAUUGCACAAUGGGCGGAAGCCUGAUGCAGCAACGCCGCGUGCGGGAUGACGGCCUUCGGGUUGUAAACCGCUUUCGCCUGUGACGAAGCGUGAGUGACGGUAAUGGGUAAAGAAGCACCGGCUAACUACGUG
RNAcentral lists this ribosomal RNA (468 nucleotides) under uncultured bacterium. RNAcentral's name for it is "partial 16S ribosomal RNA". It matches the Rfam family "Bacterial small subunit ribosomal RNA", at positions 28 to 507 of the family's 1533-position model. The record is from RNAcentral.